GGAGGUAUUGCUCAAAGUGCUAGAGUGCAUGCUUAGCAUGCAUGAGGUCCUGGGUUCAAUCUCCAGUACCUCAA
This 74-nucleotide transfer RNA is filed under the name Camelus bactrianus (Bactrian camel). It matches the Rfam family "tRNA". Rfam says of the family: Transfer RNA (tRNA) molecules are approximately 80 nucleotides in length. Lineage: Eukaryota; Metazoa; Chordata; Mammalia; Artiodactyla; Camelidae. RNAcentral also lists the same sequence under 1 other name. The record is from Rfam by way of RNAcentral.